RNAcentral lists this unclassified non-coding RNA (475 nucleotides) under Hevea brasiliensis (rubber tree). Lineage: Eukaryota; Viridiplantae; Streptophyta; Magnoliopsida; Malpighiales; Euphorbiaceae. The record is from RNAcentral.
CCAUCCAUAUCUUAUCAUUUGGCAGGCACAAAGAAGAUUCAACAAGACCUUGCGAAGCCUAAUGUGCUUGAGAGAUUUCUUGAGGAUAAGGAGGACAUCACCAAGUUGCGGAAAUGCUUUGCUGGCUUGUGGGGGUUUGGUGACACCGAGAUUUUCAAAAGAGACCUGAGCUGUUUGUGAUGAAGCCCCAAAGAGAAGGCGGAGGGAACAAUGUCUAUGGUGACGAUGUGAAGGAAAACCUUCUAAGAUUGCAGAGGGAAGGAACUGAAGAGGAUGCUGCUUACAUCCUCAUGCAACGAAUUUUUCCAACUGUUUCCCCCACAUUUUUGGUGCUUAAUGGCAUUUCUCAUAAAGAUCAUGCAGUAUCAGAGCUUGGAGUAUGCGGCGCUUACUUAAGCAACAAGGACAAAGUUAUUAUAAAUGACCAGUGUGGACACUUGAUGCGGACAAAGGUGUCAUCAUCAAAUGAAGGUGG